RNAcentral lists this ribosomal RNA (792 nucleotides) under uncultured Alphaproteobacteria bacterium. RNAcentral describes it as "bacterial SSU rRNA". It matches the Rfam family "Bacterial small subunit ribosomal RNA", at positions 34 to 874 of the family's 1533-position model. The record is from RNAcentral. Lineage: Bacteria; Pseudomonadati; Pseudomonadota; Alphaproteobacteria.
CGCUGGCGGCACGCCUAACACAUGCAAGUCGAACGAAGUAGCAAUACUUAGUGGCAGACGGGUGAGUAACAUGUAGGUAUCUGCCCUUUGGCCUGGAAUAACACGAGGAAACUUGUGCUAAUACCGGAUAAGUCUUUACGGAGAAAGCUUUAUGCACCAUUGGAUGAGCCUGCACUUGAUUAGUUUGUUGGUGGGGUAAUGGCCUACCAAGACCGUGAUCAAUAGCUGAUUUGAGAGGAUGAUCAGCCACAUUGGGACUGAGACACGGCCCAAACUCCUACGGGAGGCAGCAGUGGGGAAUCUUGCACAAUGGAGGAAACUCUGAUGCAGCGAUGCCGCGUGAGUGAAGAAGGCCCUUGGGUUGUAAAGCUCUUUCGUCGGGGAAGAAAAUGACUGUACCCGAAUAAGAAGGUCCGGCUAACUUCGUGCCAGCAGCCGCGGUAAUACGAAGGGACCUAGCGUAGUUCGGAAUUACUGGGCUUAAAGAGUUCGUAGGUGGUUGAAAAAGUUAGUGGUGAAAUCCCAGAGCUUAACUCUGGAACUGCCAUUAAAACUUUUCAGCUAGAGUAUGAUAGAGGAAAGCAGAAUUUCUAGUGUAGAGGUGAAAUUCGUAGAUAUUAGAAAGAAUACCAAUUGCGAAGGCAGCUUUCUGGAUCAUUACUGACACUGAGGAACGAAAGCAUGGGUAGCGAAGAGGAUUAGAUACCCUCGUAGUCCAUGCCGUAAACGAUGUGUGUUAGACGUUGGAAAUUUAUUUUCAGUGUCGCAGGGAAACCGAUAAACACACCGCCU